AGUAAUGAAUUACUGAUAAGUGGCCUCUUUUAGAAGGAAAUUAUUCAAGGGAGCAGGUGAGAGCCUGCAGACAUUCAUCUUCUCAGCUCUACAAAGCUGGCCGGGAGAUGGGGAAAGGAGAGGACACACAGAGACCCCGAGGGAGGAUGGCGACAUGAAGACAGGAGUAGAGACUGGAGUUAUGCUGCUGUGAGCCACAGCUGGAAGAGACAGAGAAGAUCCAUUCUUCCCUGGAGGCUUCCAAAGUGGGACCUAAAUCAAAAGAGGGGACUCUGCAGGGAGUGUAGUCCCUGGUGGAGGCUGCCCUGGUGCUGGGAUUGUGUGUUGCAGCAGAUCCGAGUCUGGGAGUUCAUGUGGUAGAUAAAGAUGCUGUGAGGAGUCUUUGAAAAAUCACAGACAAGGAAGCCUUGAGCAGAGUAAACACAGGCUCUGCCAGGUUAGAGUGGCUCGAUUCCCAGGUGAUGAAUGCUUCUGCCAGAGGACAAAGUGAAGUUACUACUGAACUAGUCACAACAACUACCUAGACACUGCGGGAUCUUCCUUGGGUGGACCAUCAGCAGGACAAACAACUGAUGGACCCAGGCACACGCAGGAGGAAGGGGUCCGGCCCUCUCAGAGAAAGGCAUUCCCACUGGGAUCUGAGAGAGAAAUCUCCUUCCAACAGGUGAAAAUGGAGCAGAAAAGGAGCUGGAGAGCUACCAUAGGACCAGCAUGGCCACACUCCCUGAGGAGGAGCUGGAGCUAGCGGCUGGCCGGUGGAGAGGUGGAUCGAACUCUCACCUGCCACUGCCCUGCAGAUUCACGGGACUGGAGCAGCUUUUAUCCUGGGGGUUGUUUGCCUCUGGUUUUCCUGCUGAGCUGUAAACCCUGUCUGCUGGGGAUGCGCCCAGUCCCUGGAUGCUAACCGCAAGUUCUCAAAUCCCAAGCCACAGACCUGACCCUCAUCUGAUGAAACAAUCAGCAGUGCCAAAGGCCUUAUUGAUAAACUUUUCCUCCAAGUCCAAGAAUCACAGAGAUCAACUGAGGGAAGUGCCCCUGGCAGAGGAGCCGGGAUGAAUGUGGACUUGGGUCACAUCAGAAUCUGCCUUUUAUUAUGCUGCUAACUGGAGUGGCUUCACACGCGAUAAUUGGAUGUCUUGCCAAGUGGGACACUGUUGCAUGCAAACACGCUUGCACACACACGCUCCCAUGUGCACACACACACACGCAGAUACGUAAGGAGGCCCAGAGAUACACAUGCAGCAGAUGCAACAGUAUUUCACACAGAGAGACUUCUGGAUCCCCAGGCCAGCUGGGAAUUUCAGUCCCAAUAAUAGAUGACUGUCCCUGCCCUAACCAGAAAUCAGUUAUUUCAACCUCCAACCCAGAAUAUAAAAACGUUUUCUAAUUUCCUGAGUUGACACACAGCCUCUUGUGCCUCUCCAAAGUUGGGAAACCUAGUGCGUCACUGGGAACCCCAUGUGAUCAUUGUUAUUAAUGACAAUAAUAGCUAUAGAUUUUUGAGUCUAGCUCUGUGCCUCGUACUAUGCUAGUAGUAGACUAUCUCAAAUAAUCCAGCAAGGGGGAAACUCUUAUCUCCAUUUUACAGAAGCUUAUCCUGUGUUUUAGAGAAACUAACCUGCUCCUGCAUUUAGCACGAGGCGGAACUGGGAUUUGAGCCUGGAACUCUUACUCCACCACCCUGGCUCUUGCUAAGUCCUAUUAGCUUGUAUAGGACACGCUUCCUUCUCUGUUCUUCUGUAAGUUCUGCUGAUUGAUCCCUGGCUGUAGGUCUGGAGUCUUGCAGAGGUCUCUUCCUGUCCUCUUGUCCCUAUCCUUUGAUGCCCCCUGGAAGUCCUUUUUCAAAUACAGGUCCCCAAGGAAUUCCCCAGAGAUAGUUCCUUCCUCGGUUCAACGCUGUACUUCAAGUGUGCCAUUGGGUUUUUGAGAAGCCACAUCCCAUCACUGCCUGUUUUAAAAAACUACAGUUUUUUUUAUUUGAUUUUAGUUAGCCCAUUUUUUAACAUAAACUGCUGUAAGCUACUUCUGUAGCUGAGAUUUAAAAAUAUGUUUUCAGCUUAUUAUGCCAGCUACUUAUAAGAUUGUUUUGAAGUUCUAGUUUGUCAGCCAGUACAUGAGCUAGGCUUGCAGCUUCCAGACAAACUGGCUGAGCAGGUUUUCUGUGCCCAGCCAAUGAUCAAAACCAGGCCAAGGGUCAAGGUUGACUCUGUUCCAUCUGCUAGAGACCACCUAUCGGUGACACUGAUCUGUGAAGCAUGACUCUGGUUCCAAUGUCAAAUACUGGGUUUCACUGUGAAUUUGGACUAAAACUAGAUUGAUGCCAGGGGUCCCUUCUGAAGAAUUAGAGGGCAAAGUUCAAUUGCAAGCCAGGAAAAAAGGGUAAGGUCAGGGGAGAAAUACUGAAGCUGGGAACCUUGUGCCUUGCCAGAAGGCGAGAGAGGCCGAAGACAAACCCAGGUGUUGGCAUUCAGUCUGCAAACACCAGCAGCUUAAGGAGGAUAUACCAACGAGGGAGUUCAAGACAAGCACCCAGCUUAGGAAUAGGCAGCUUAAAGAGGCAUUUCAGGCAAUGUCCAAACAAAUUCCAGAAGGCUGAAUCCUGAUGGUGUGGGGCUUCUUUUAAAGGUGCAGACUCCCACCCUUUCUGAGCAUGUACCCAGCUAUCUUAAAGGUACCAUGGGCUCAUUCCAAAUGGCUUCUGAUCAACUUUAGAUCUGCCGGUAUGAUUCUAUCAGAUGACAUUAUUUAUCUCUGGUUUCUUCAUUUUGUUCACAAGGAUAUCUUGAAAAUUGUAGUCAAUUAACUUUCUGAAAUUGAAAUACAUCAUAUCUAGGGCAUUCCCUUUGAAUUGGUUAGGAUUUUUUUUUUUCUUGCAGGUCAUAAAAAUCCAAAUUAAACUUGGUUAAACAACAAGGAAAUUGAUGGUCUCACAAAAUGAGAGGCCCAGAAAUAGAUGCACCUUCGAGGUUGGUCAAUUCAGUAGAUGAACAAUGUUUUCAGAGACUCAGUUUCUGUCCUCUCAUUAGGAUCCAUGGUAGGAGCUUAAUUUUAAAUCUGGCUCCCUCAGGCUCAUCAGGUGACUGCCAGAGUAAUUGGGAUAACAUACUUCUUUGUUCCCAUGCACAGAGCGGGAGACUGGAUUCUCUUUCUCCAAAGCCUCAAGCAAGGUUUUCCUCUUGUUGCAUUGGUUCAAUUCUCUCAGACCUGCCCCCAAACUGAACCAAUCUUCAGGGGGACCAGAGUGAAAUGUACUGGGAAAUAUUCACUGCACUCCUGAUUCUUUGGUCCAGCUUUGCUCUCAGUAAAAUAAAUGAGCUCAUUUGGACUUGA
Molecule: long non-coding RNA, 3330 nt
Organism: Marmota flaviventris (yellow-bellied marmot)
Lineage: Eukaryota; Metazoa; Chordata; Mammalia; Rodentia; Sciuridae
Source: RefSeq, a predicted model, not a curated record